CGAGGCCGUGGCCGGCGGCGCCGACGGCGUGGUGGCCUGCGGUGCCACGGCGCGCAGUUGUUCGACGCUGCGGUCCUGC
Molecule: transfer RNA, 79 nt
Filed under: Achromobacter dolens
Lineage: Bacteria; Pseudomonadati; Pseudomonadota; Betaproteobacteria; Burkholderiales; Alcaligenaceae
Description: tRNA-Arg
Source: RNAcentral